Equus caballus (horse) is the source of this 3287-nucleotide long non-coding RNA. The record is from Ensembl. Lineage: Eukaryota; Metazoa; Chordata; Mammalia; Perissodactyla; Equidae.
UUAAAUUUUUUUCAGCUUUUAUGAACUUAAAACAUUUUUUUAUGGAAAACAUCAAGCGUGUACAGAAGAAGACAGAGAGUAUGAGGAACCCCCAUCACCAACAUCACCAACUCCUGGCCAAGCUUGUUCAUUUACAGCACCAGCUGCCUCCCCACCUCCCAUAUAAUUUUGAAGUAAAUCCUAUAUAUUGGAUCAUAUUAUUUCAUCUGUUGGUAUUUCAGUAUGUAGCUCUAAAAAAAAUGGACUCAUUCAACUUAGCCACACUGUCCUUAUUUCACCUAAAAAUUAAUAAUACUCCCUAAAUAUUACCAAGAUUCAGUUGCUGUUCACAUUUCCAGAAUAUAUUUUGAACUCUUUGCCUUUCUACUUACAGAAAAAAAAAAUCAGCCCUGAAACAAGAAUUUCUCAGCAUUUGGUCACAUCCUUAAACUCUAGUUCAAAGACAGAUUUCUGCAUUUGGGCAGAAACGCCCAGUUAUGAAAUCUCUGAGGCCAAUGAGCACUUCUGAAGCUCACUCCGGUAUAGCUCUCCGCUUGGCCAGCGGCUGCACAUAGUGGGGGCGAGGUCACUGCGUGCUGGGUUUCAUGUCAGGAUGAACACAUGCAAGGGUGGGGAUGCAGCGGCGUUGAGCUAAUGCGGGAGGACUGCAGUGCAGCCCCCUGCGUCCUCCCACCCCGGAGGACACCCGGCUGUGAGUGGCUGUCCUUGGCUGUCGGAGCAGCGCUCCACCCGCCAGCUGCCUGGGCCUCCUCUGGGACCCUCUUCUCUCUCUUGCUCAGGAUAUUUGACUGUGUUCCAGUGACUCCGUGGAACCCCACUUUGUGGGGCCUCCAGCCUUCUUCUCGGUCUUGCCAAUUCGCAGCUUAACAUACAGCAACAGUUGACUAGGGAUGCUCACACGUGCCAAGCGCUUUGCUCAUCUGUCCUCACGGCAGCCCCAGGAGAUGGGUAUCGCUGUCAUUGCCAUUUCACAGCAGAGGAGACUAGGGGAGGGCAGGUAAGUCCCUUGCUUGCCUAGGAAGUGGCAGUGCCAGAUUUGAAUGUGGUCAGCCUGAGCAUCAGGCACUCUCCAUUGCAACAUGUUGGUUCCCAAAUGUUAAGACUCAUCUAACAAACUGCUAGGCAGCUUGGCCUAGGACCAGGCACUUACCCUUUUGAGGACAAAUCUUGACAAGUUGGGAUCUGCAGGCACUGUGUACUGUUCCCCGCAACGUUCACAUCUUCCAGAAGAGCUGUAGCAAGACUGAUUGUUAUAUACACCCUUAUUAGGGGAUUAGCUCAGUUGAAUGGAAUAAAUUUUAGGUCAUUCAGCCUCUAAUUUCCUGGUUUGUCUUUUUUCAUAGUUAAAUAAUAGUUUUGAGUCAUAGAUUAUACGACUGUGACAGGUUUGAAGGUUAAGAAGGAUGAGAAGAAACUGGGUUGAGUAUCUAAGGCCACAACCUAGACAUUAUCCCUUCUAUACAUUUUGUCACAUCUCUCAGUUUUUGCUAGAAGAAAAAUAUGACUUUUGGAAUGUACAGAAUCAGGGUCAAGUACUUAAGAAUUCUCAGAAGUAGGGGGCUGGCCCAGUGGCGCAGUGGUUAAGUUCAUACGUUCCGCUUCUCAGCGGCUUGGGGUUCGCCGGUUCGGAUCCUGGGUGUGGACAUGGCACCGCUUGGCACGCCAUGCUGUGGUAGGCGUCCCACGUAUAAAGUAGAGGAAGAUGGGCACAAUGUUAGCUUAGGGCCAGGCUUCCUCAGUAAAAAAUAGGAGGACUGGCAGUAGUUAGCUCAGGGCUAAUCUUCCUCAAAAAAAAAAAAAAAAAAGAAUUCUCAGAAGGAGAAGGGCUGGUAUGGGCACCAUUUUCUUUGUCCCAGUUGAUCAGAGUUCAGCCUGUGUGGCUUCCCCUUGGCUGAACUUUGGAGGAGCAGUUUUAGGCGGCCUGGUGAGGCUCAGACCCCUGUCCCCUGGGAGCCAGCCUCACCUACUGCAGACAGCCGGGGCACGCCAAAGCCAAGCGCUAAGGCAAACACACUUGCAUUUUUACUUCUGUUGCUUCUCAAUUUUGCCUUGGUUUGCUUCACUUUCUUGCAACUCUUGCUGCCCUAGAGAAAUAGAAGAAAGAGUGGGCAGAGGUGGGUAUGAUUAAGUAAGGGAAAUGGAAAAACCAAAGCAGACACAGAGAAGAGAGGCAUUGGCAGACUCUCAGAAGAAAGAGUCCAUAGAAGGCUGAAAAGAGGCCAAGAAGACAGAAGGAGUGGAACCAGCAUCUUCUGUAAGUGCUCAUGGGGUUUAUGGACACAAAGCAUUGAAGGUGAACUUCAAGAAGCUGUUUGCCAACCGUGGCAAUGGGAAAGCUUUGGCUAUCUUUAGCUUCCCUUGGGAAUGCCUGGAAAUUAAUUUAAAUCAUCUGUUUCCGAAAGUUGCAUUUGCUGGGACCCCUCUGGCUUUGCAUAGAGUUGGGUAUGCCAAUCUUCCACGAACCCUUGCUGUUCCAGGAGUGGUGUGUCUGUGGGUUGGGUUAGCCCUGGUCCACAGAAAGGUGGCUAGGUAAGCCUCGCCCUGGAAGAUGCAAAGCUGAUAACACAGCUCCAUCACACCCAAAGCUUCUCCUGCCACAGGGCUCCUCUGGCUCAGAUUCUCCAGUGAGCCCUCCAGAGGGCAUCAUGUUGGAAGCCACCAGACUCAGGGGUGAACUGGAAUGGUUUCCAGCCUUGUCCCAGGAAGAUCAGCCCUCACUCUGCAAAAGACCAACAGUGGGGGUGAAUUGGGAGAACUGUAGGAAAAAAAAGGGCAAGAAGGGAAGCUUGCUUUUCUACAACUGUCCCGGCUCAGUGUUCUGAAAUCUACAAAAAGCAAUAAGACGCAGAGCAUAACUGAGUGUGGUUGGUUGAGGGUCAACAGAGUUGUUUUAAAUUCAUUGCUGCCUCCUUUUCUCUCCUGGGUCUCUCUUUAUUUUUUAUUUUUUCUGGUGUCGUUUGCUUUCACAUUCUUCUCUCUUUUCAGAAUAUUUAUAACUGUCUCCCUCUUCUUUUUUAUUCCCAAUUCCCCUCCCCACCCCAGUCUGCCUCCUUAGCAUAAUUUUUCUUUUCUUUUGGCCUUCUUUGCUUUACAUCUGGAUUCCUGGAUGGUUUAUUUUGUCUGUUUCCUGAAUUUCCCUCCUUCCUAUUUCUUAUAGUUAGGUUUUUCUUUUUUUUCCUUUUCCUUCAGCUUCAGUUCUUUCCCCUCAAGCUUUCCUUGGGCCACACAGGCUUUUAUUCUUGUUCAUUUGUUUAAGCAGUGCUGGCAAGAAGGAGGCCACAGCCGGC